GCUUAGUUGGUAGUGCGUCUGCAUUGUAAGCGGUAGGCCGCGGGUUCGAUUCCCGC
Molecule: transfer RNA, 56 nt
Filed under: Diaphorina citri (Asian citrus psyllid)
Lineage: Eukaryota; Metazoa; Arthropoda; Insecta; Hemiptera; Psyllidae
Rfam family: tRNA
About the family: Transfer RNA (tRNA) molecules are approximately 80 nucleotides in length. Their secondary structure includes four short double-helical elements and three loops (D, anti-codon, and T loops).
Source: Rfam by way of RNAcentral